UACGGAGGGUCCAAGCGUUAUCCGGAAUCAUUGGGUUUAAAGGGUCCGUAGGCGGGCUUGUAAGUCAGUGGUGAAAUCUCCCGGCUCAACCGGGAAAUGGCCAUUGAUACUGCUAGUCUUGAAUUAGUAGGAAGUAACUAGAAUAUGUAGUGUAGCGGUGAAAUGCUUAGAGAUUACAUGGAAUACCAAUUGCGAAGGCAGGUUACUACUACUAUAUUGACGCUGAUGGACGAAAGCGUGGGUAGCGAACAGG
RNAcentral lists this ribosomal RNA (253 nucleotides) under uncultured bacterium. RNAcentral's name for it is "partial 16S ribosomal RNA". It matches the Rfam family "Bacterial small subunit ribosomal RNA", at positions 524 to 776 of the family's 1533-position model. The record is from RNAcentral.